RNAcentral lists this transfer RNA (85 nucleotides) under Candidatus Alloenteromonas pullicola. RNAcentral's name for it is "tRNA-Leu". It matches the Rfam family "tRNA". Rfam says of the family: Transfer RNA (tRNA) molecules are approximately 80 nucleotides in length. The record is from RNAcentral. Lineage: Bacteria; Bacillati; Bacillota.
GCGUCAGUGGCGGAAUUGGUAUACGCGCAUGACUUAGGAUCAUGUGGGCUCUCCCGUGCAGGUUCAAGUCCUGUCUGACGCACCA